GCAGGCAGGAACACGUUAAUAUGCAAAGCUUAGGACUCCCUAAAAAGUCCUAGGAGCUACAUGGCCACAAAUCCAGCACCUUAUUUCUCUGAAAGGCAACAGGAAGGCCUGGUCUGUAAAUUUAGUGGUACCAGAGAGAAAAAGACCACAGUCAGAGGGGUGAGUCCUGCACCUUCUGCGUCCUCCAUGGAGAGAGCUGUAAAUACAGGCAGCAAGGAGCAAUGUUCAUCAGCUUCACCCAGCUGUUCUCCUUCCUGCAGUGAUGCAGAGUCCCACAGGAACAAAGCACACAGCCCAAAAUCUUGACCAGAGGUGCACAGAGCCACCAAGGGAAGGGAAGAGCAGCUCUGCAGCCUAUGCAAGAUCUGCACAGCACUUUUGCAGUCAGAUCUUCCCUGUGCAUCCUGCAGAGCUGCUUUGUGCUGGGGCUCAGACAACUGACAGUGCAGGUGCCACCCAGGAGGUUUAUCAUGCGAUGUGAAAGCAGCAGGAUGAGAUGGAGAGAUGAAUCAUGCUGAGACAACUUACAGGAAGAGCUGUCCUGUGGAAAUCCUCAGUUGCACAGUACCCAAUGUUCACCAGGAGAUCACGCUCCUUUGCUGGAGCCGGGGGCUGCCGGUUCAGCUGGAAACCGCAG
Centrocercus urophasianus (Greater sage-grouse) is the source of this 637-nucleotide long non-coding RNA. RefSeq lists it as uncharacterized. The transcript has 3 exons. NCBI's taxonomy places the organism in Eukaryota, Metazoa, Chordata, Aves, Galliformes, Phasianidae. The record is from RefSeq and is a predicted model, not a curated record.